GACGAACGCUGGCGGCGUGCUUAACACAUGCAAGUCGAACGGUAAGGCCCUUCGGGGUACACGAGUGGCGAACGGGUGAGUAACACGUGGGUGAUCUGCCCUGCACUUCGGGAUAAGCCUGGGAAACUGGGUCUAAUACCGGAUAGGACCCUGGGAUGCAUGUCCUGGGGUGGCAAGCUUUUGCGGUGUGGGAUGGGCCCGCGGCCUAUCAGCUUGUUGGUGGGGUGAUGGCCUACCAAGGCGACGACGGGUAGCCGGCCUGAGAGGGUGACCGGCCACACUGGGACUGAGAUACGGCCCGGACUCCUACGAGAGGCAGCAGUGGGGAAUAUUGCACAAUGGGCGCAAGCCUGAUGCAGCGACGCCGCGUGAGGGAUGACGGCCUUCGGGUUGUAAACCUCUUUCAGCACCGACGAAGCGCAAGUGACGGUAGGUGCAGAAGAAGGACCGGCCAACUACGUGCCAGCAGCCGCCGUAA
RNAcentral lists this ribosomal RNA (478 nucleotides) under uncultured bacterium. RNAcentral's name for it is "partial 16S ribosomal RNA". It matches the Rfam family "Bacterial small subunit ribosomal RNA", at positions 28 to 523 of the family's 1533-position model. The record is from RNAcentral.